GUACUUCCUGCUUUUGAGAGGCCCUGCUUUUGAGAGGCUGAUGAGUGGCAGGGAGAGCGGGGCUGGGGCUGGAGGACCUGAGGCAGCCUCGGUCUUGACCAUCCAUUAGUUGUGCCACACCGGGCAGGGCCUUGAGCUUGAGUUUCCUGGUCUAGACAGGAACAGUAAUCGCAUCCUCGCCUGCCCACCCUGAGGCUUACUAUGCAGCUCAAAAGGAGUCCAUGCCUGGGAACGUCCCUUGUCAUCUAUGAAACCCGAUAUGGAUACAAGUGGUGGUUGAUUUGGGAGAGAGGACUGUCAAAGGCAGGGUGGGACACGGGGUGGACCCACUCCAAGCACAGGGGAGAGAGGAUCGAGAAGGAGGAUGGUAUGGUUUGGAUCUUUGUCCCUGCCCAUAUCUCAUGUGGAAUUGUAAUCCCCAGUGUUGAAGUGGGGCCUGAUAGGAGGUGACUGGAUCGUGGGGAUGGAUUUCCCCCUUGCUGUUCUUGUGAUAGUGAGUGAAUUCUCAUGAGAUCUGGCUGUUUAAAAGUGUGUAGCACCUCCCCGCUUUGCUCUCUUCCUCCUGCUCCCACCAUAUUAAGAUGUGCCUGGUUCCCCAUCUGCCCUGAUUGUAAGUUUCCUGAGGCCUUCCCAGAAGCAGAAGCCUGCACAGCCUGCAGAACCAUGAGUCAAUUAAACCUCUUUUCUUUAUAAAUUACCCAGUCUCAGGUAGUUCUUUAUAGCAUGUGAAAACGGACUAAUGCAGAGGGGGAACCAGGCACGCCUUCAACUGAGGAGCAGAGCCUGAGACAAAUGUCCGGGUGCAGGUAGUUCACGUGGGUGUAGGAAUGAGGGAUAGGGUAGGAGAACAGGGAAGCAGGGAAAACCAAUACCAGGAUGUGCUAUCAAGGUGGCCAAUGCUCAGUUCUUCCAGAAUGUUCCACAGGGCCAUAUGAAAUGUACCUUAAAACUGUCCUGUGAGAUGAAAGACAGAAGGAUUUUCCCACUGUCUUCUAUCUCAAAUGGGUUAAGGAUGGUCCCACACAAAUUAAUUCCUCCACACUUUGGGACCGUGCAUGUAUAAGACUAGGAUGUUUCCUGAAGCACCCAGAGUGAGGCGCUGUCUGGUUGUACCUGCUCCGAAGUGUGAGGGUUGGGAUUAAGAGGAUCCACAGUGGUGUGGAAGAAAUGUCAAACACAAGUGCGAGACCAUCCAGGCACAGCCUGACCUGGAAAAUGCCUUUGACAAUGCAAUUCUGCUAGUGAAAGUUGCCAUGGCUGUUCAUGAGGAAGGGAUGAGAUAGAUACUAUUCAGUUAUCAAGUGAUACAGGGAGAAAAUUAUUUUCAGCCAGAGUACCAAUGUUAGUGUAAUAUUUGGAAAGAAGGAUGAAUUCUAGCUCCAUGAUGCUAUGAUUGAUUACUAAUGUCUGCUAUGAGGGUAAGCAGGGGGUUAUGGUAAUAAUGCUGUAUGUAUAUUUACUAUGACUUCUGCCAGACCCCUUAGCUCUUCUCUCCUUGAAUUACUGAGCUCCAGAAAGACCUGAUUCCACUGGCAUUCCAUGGAAUUAUAUUCUCUAAAGGAAGAAAAGCCCUACUUUUAUAUUUCCCUCCACUUAUAAGCUAAAUCUUGUUGCAUAGUCACAAGUUUGGACAGUGUGGGUUUUCAGCUGAAGGACUGAAAUCCACCUUCCACGACAGCCUUUGGGAAAGAUGCUGACACGGGGCCAGUGCUCCUCAGUCACAAGGACACUCACAUGGGUUCCCAGGCAAGUCUAGAGUGCGGAGGCAUAAGAACUCAGUGUCCUAGGUAAGUGGUAGUCAGGCCAUCCAAUAAAAACCCACAGCCACCCGAGUAAAUAUGUGUUUAACUCCCUGGGGGACUUGAGCCCAGUCCCUGGCACCUACUUCCAAGAUCAGUAUCUCCACCACAGACUCCACAAGUCUCUUCCAGCUAGCACCAUUUCAACUAAACUCAUAAAUCUUCCUGACAUUGAAUGUUAUGGGCUGAAUUAUGUCCCCAACAAAGUCCUAUGUUGAAAUCCUAACCCCCAGUAAUUCAGAGUGUGACUGUAUUUGAAGAUAGAGUCUUUAAAGCAAUAAUUAACAUUAAACGAGGUCAUUGGGGUGGGCCUUAAUCCAAUAUGACUGUGUCCUUAUAAGAAGAGGAAACUUGGACACAGAAGGAAGAACAUGUGAAGACUCAGAUGUUUUGUUUUAUUAUUAAUAUUCCAUUCUGGCAACAGUUAAAUUGGAUGACUAGAGGACUGAAUAUUGAUGUUCCCUCUACGGAAAGUGAUUUAUCAUUAUGAUUCAAGAGCGUAAAAGACAUUCAUGCCCUUUGACCUAUUAAUUCCCCUCAAAGAUAUAUGUUGUAGAGAAGUAUCAAAGUUGGAGACAAAUGGUUUCCAUGAAAAUAUUUAUCAAGCCAUUAUUUAUGAAUGCAUAACAUUGGAAAUAAUCCCAGUAUUAAACAAUAGAAGGUAUACAUAAAUUAUAUAGUUAGUUCAUGGAAUGGAAUGUUAUGCAGACAUUUAAAUUAUGUUGCUUUAAAAAUAAAAUAAUAUAGGGAAAUGCAUGUGUCAUAAAACUAUUGAAAGAAAGAUACCAAGGUGUAUAUACAGAAUGCUUUCAUGUAUCAAAAGCAGGGCACAGCCUGGGCAACACGGCAAGACCUCAUCUCUUUACAGAAGGUAAAAAAUUAGCAAGGUGCAGUGGUCCAUGCCUGUUACUCGAGAGGUUGAGGCAGGAGAAUCGUUUGAGCCCAGGAGUUGGAGGCUGCAGUGAGCUAUGAUGGCACCACCGCACUAUAGCAGCCUGGGUGACAGAGUGAGACCCUCAUCUCUUUAAAAAAAAAAAAAAAAAAAAAAAACUGGGCAGAAAAAAUAUCAGAAGGAUAAGCCCCAAAAUAUUAGCAGCAAAUUCUCCUUCCCUUGACUGACAAAGUGGAACUGGGGUGAUUAUUCCCCCCUCUCUUAACUCCUAAUGUUUUCCAAUGUUUCUUAAAUUGAACAUAUAUUUUAACACAAAGAACAAUAAAUUUUUAAAAUAUGGCAUGAAUAAUCCACAACUACAAGUCUCUCCAUGAAUUAUUGAGGCCUUAAGGUGUUUCUAAAACUAACAAAAAUUAAGGUGAUAAAUAUCCAAUGUGGGAAAGCUGGUGCACCGAUACAUGGCUGAGGGCGUUGUAAAUUACUUCACUCUUUCUGGAGAGCAAUCUCACAAUAUGUGACAAGUGCCACAGAAUUGUUCCUACCCUUUGACCUAGCAAUUCCAGUUGGAAAUCUGCCCCUGUGAAAAUAACUAAGAGAAAAAGUAGUGUGUUCAAAGGCAUGCAUUGCAGUGACAUUUAUAAUCAUGAAAAAUUGGCCACAAUCUAGAUACCCAACCAUAAAAAUGGUAGAUAAACCCUAAAACUGCCAAGUAUGCAGGUUAUGUCAAUAUGUGGCAAUGUUUAUAAGAACAGUUAAAUGGAAAAAGCUGAGCACUAGAUAUUACAUGCACACACUGAUUGUAACUCUGCAAAACACACACUGACUGGCGUAGGAUCAAUGUUGGAAAAGAAUGCAGAAGAAGGCAGACCGUAGAGGAUUUGGUGGAAAGAACAUGUUCAUUUAGAACCAGGGCUUGGCUCCAGAUGAUGUUUUGUGGAGAACCCCAGAGUUCCCAUGGAUGAUUGACAUGGUCAAAAUGAGUUCCACAGACAGUCCAUGCUUGUGCCAGAUGAGAUGGUUACCAGUAUUUUUUUCGUCAAUGUGAGGAAGCGCCUGGGGGCAAUUCUCUCCAAAGGGCCCUGGCACCUCUGCUUUCAAGGAUCUAAGACAGGUCCCCAGGGAACAAGAGAGAACAGUCCAACCAACAAGCACAUUGAAUACAGGUGAAGAGGCUGCAACCUGGCAGGAGAGAACCGAGAGAAAGAAGAUCUGAAGCAGCUACAAAGGGGAAGAAUCAGGAGUAAGGUGUCUAGACCAGCGCUGUUCAACAGAAACAGGAUGCAAGCACAGCUGCCCCCAGUUUUACACUUUCCAGCAGCCACAAUUUAAAAGGUAAAAAGAAAUAGGUACAAAUCAUUUUAAUGUUAUUUAUUUAGACCAAUAUAUCCAAAAUAUUAUCAUUACAAAUACGUACCCAAUAUGAAACAUUGUUAAUAAGCUAUUUGACAUUCUUUUCCCUUUUACUGAGUCUUCAGAGCCCAGUGUGGGCUUUGCACACAUAGCACAUCUCACUUACCCACUUACCUGGUGGCUAUUUGCUGGACAGUGUGGGUUUAGAGUUUAGAAAUGAGAUUGCAGCCUGGAGGCGCAUAUAAUACUGGCAUGGAUUCUGCAUGGGCUGGGGUCAGAGCCCUCUUCUAAAAGAAUAUAGCUAAAAAUCCAGGGUAGUUUUGGCUCAACUAGGGCAGAACAAUGGCCCAGCAGUACCUCCAGACACCUAGGUGAGAGGGUGGGGGCUGGGGUGGUGGUCACAGAUGGGAACUGGCAGGACUUGGAGCGUCUCCACUUAGAGGUACAUCCCCAGCAGAGAGGGGCUCAGCACCAAGCCUCUGGUCUGCACCUGGGGACGGAGACCAUUGAUUCCCCUGUUCUCCCCACAAUGAGAACGUCCUACAUAGAGAGUGUCCGGUGGGUGGGAGGGCGGUAGGCAUUCUAGGAGAGGGAGUGGAAUUGUUGAUCAAUGUCAUACAGAAAAGGCAGGCAACUCUGUCAAGACACAGCUUCCCAGAUCAGCUCGCCUGCGGGUUUGCUCAGGCAACAGCCUCCCUGGGUCCUAGGCACUGGGUCCUGCCAUGUUUGCCAUCUGACCAUGCUGCCCCGCAGCUGCCCCUACAAGCCUCCGGCCCCGCCUUUUUGAUCAUCCUUCCCACCAUCUGUCACCUCCCCUCCCCGGGGAAAGUAGCCAGCGCUGCUCCCUUCAGAAGGAGAGCAGAAGGGAGCAUUCCCCUGCCCCCCACUCCAGGCAGCAUCCCUCACCUCUGCCAAAUCCCCCCUCCCCAGGGUGCUUGUUAAAAUGCAGACUUGGAGUCUGCAGGCUGUUGGGUGGGCCACGCCUUGAGUAGCAAGUUCAUCUAAACUUUUCACACUGAGAAAAUCAUGUAAUGUCUCCUCUUUCCUCUCCUCUAAAAGGGAAAUGAGGGUUUCUGCUUUCUAAGAUUUUUUUGAAAAUCUAACAAGAAAACAGUUUGAAAUAUUUAAACCACCCUCAAAUAUACAGGUGCUACAUUUUUGUCCAAGUUUCCAAGAGAAUAAAAGUCAAAGUGGGUUUUCAAAGAUUAAAAUGUGGGAUACUGGCCAGUGUGGUGGAGGGGUGAGAAGCAGGGAUUCUCAUACCUGGUGGGUGGGAAGGUAAAUUGGAAAAUGCACAUUAAAUGUUAAAUGCCCAAAACCCCCCAUUCCACUUGUAGGAAUUUAGCCCACAAACAUGUCUAUACAAGUGCACAAAAAUAUAUAGAGAUUAUCCCAUUGUCUAAGACAGCAAAGAAUUUGGACAUUAGCUCCAUGUCCACUAAUGGGGACAAGUUAAAUACAUAAUGGUACCCCACUGUGCCAUACUGAUAACCUUUAACAUCAGGGAUGUGGGUUCUUGUGUGCUUAUAGAGAAAUAGGCCAAUUCUGUAUUAUAAAUGAAAACACCACGUACAAACAGUGAAGUAUAUACUGCAAUCCUAUGCGUGCAGGAGAAGAACAGUGCUUAUAAAUACAUGGAAAGAUUCUGCAAGAAUUCCUAAGAAACUGUUAAAUACAGGUGUCCUGGGGGGAGUGAGACUAGAAGGGGGACCCUUUAUUUUAGUUAUAAGCUUCUGUUAUAGUUAGACAUUUUUAUCACAAGGUAUAAAAAAAAAAAAACCCUAAUUUUUAAAAUGUAGCUGCUAGUUGACAUAACCAGGCAGUUCUACAGUUCUAGAGCUUUACUCUCUUCCUUUCCUGUUAGAUAAUCUCUGUCCUGACUUACCCCUAGAAGUUGGGUUUGGGGAUUUUCUUAUAACUUGCAAUAGCUCCCAAAUGGUCUCCCCCUAUCUGGACCUUACAGCCAUUCUCUGCCCUGCAGCCAGAGUGAGUCUUGCAAGAUGUAAAUCUGCCCAUGCCACUCCCUUGCUGGGACCCUUCAGAGGUUUAUGUCUCAGAACAACAGGGAGAGUCCUUAGGGCAGCCUCCGCCCGUCUCUGACCUCAUUCCUCCCACUGUCCACGUGGCUCACUUCACUCCACACAACACCUUUGGGCUCUUUGAGGCUCUUCACACACUGCGACGCCCCUCCUUCCCCAGGACCUUUGUGAUUCGGUUCUCCCGGAAUGGACCAUUCUUCCCCCACAGGAUUUUCUUUGCUUAGAACAUUCCUUUAUUUUCUUCUGGGCUCUGGCCAAAAGUCACCUCCCCUGACUGCCCUUCCAGAGAAAGCCUCCAGCUUGCUUUCUUCUUUUAUUUAUUUAUUUAUUUGGGCAAAGUCUCGUUCUGUCGCCCAGGCUGGAAGGCAGUGGUGCGAUCACGGCUCACUGAAGCAUCCGCCUCCUGGGCUCAAGCAAUCCUCCCACCUCAGCCUCCCAAGGAGCUGGGACCACGGGCACGUGCCACCACACCAGGCUAAUUUUUUGUAUGUUUUGUAGAAAUGAGGUCUCACUAUGUUGGCCAGGCUGGUCUCAAACUCCUGGGCUCAGGGGAUCGUCCCACCUUUGCCUCCCAAAGUGCUGGGAUUGUAAGGCGUGAGCCACUGCACCCAGCCUCUUCUCCAAAUGAUCACUUUGUGGCACCCAUCCUCCCUGGCCUAGCAUACAUUUAUUUGCAUGCUGCAACUUCAAAUUGCAUAUUCAUUUAUUUAUUGUCUGCCUGUAUUCACUGGAAUGUAACCUGAGGGCUGGAAGGCACAUUUGCAUGGCUUAUUAAAACUCUGUUCUCAGGGCUUAGGACAGCGCCUAGCACAAAAUGGGCCUCAGAAUGAGUGAAUGAACAGAUGGUCUGACCCCUGUCCUCCUGGAGAUAAGCAGACAAGUGAUAAGUGCUAACCAGGUAGCAUCAGUGAGUUAUACCAGCACACAUGAGAACCUCAAAAUGGCCAGGAUCAUGACUGUUUUUUCACUGGGGUUACCUUAGUGAGGGUGAGUUCAACUUGUGGGUUUGUGACAGUUCCCUCCAUUUUCAAAAAAAUUUUUUCCCAGGUUGGACUGAUUGUCUCCCUAGGCUCCCACUCUGACCUGCCUCCCUUCCAGAGUUCCCCAGCUCAAGAAUGCCAGCACCACCUGCCAUGUUGCUCAAGCCAGAAAAUUCCUGAGUCCUUGAUUUCUCCUCUCUCCAUUCCCACUGCCAAUUGCCAGUGCAAACCCUGCUCUCCUGCCCAGACACUGCAGUAAUUUACUCACUGGGGUCCUUGUCUUACAAGGUCUCACUACCACCCAACUCUCACCCCGUGCUCCUCCUGCCCCUACCACUGCUCUAUCCACCUUGAAAAAACCCCUCUCUCCUCAAUCCCCAGCUCCAGACUUUUACUCUGAAGUAGGUUUCCCAAGGCUGGAUGCAGUGGCUCACACUUGUAUUCCUAGCAUUUUGGGAGGCCAAAGCGGACAGAUUAUCUGAGGUCAGGAGUUUGAGACCAGCCUGGCCAACACAAAAAACCCUGUCUCUACUAAAAAUACAAAAAUGAGCCAGGCAUGGUGGUGGGUACCUGUAAUCCCAGCUACUCAGAAGGCUGAGGCAGGAGAAUCACUUGAACUCAGGAGGAAGAGGUUGCAAUGAGCCAAGAUCGUGCCACUGCACUCCAGCCCGGGCGAUAGAGCAAGACUCCAUCUCAAAAAAUAAAUAAAUAGGCCAGGGAUGGUGGCUCAUGCCUGUAAUCCCAGCACUUCGGGAGGCCGAGGCAGGCGGAUCACCUGAGGUCAGGAGUCCAAGACCAGACUCAUCAAUAUGAUGAAACCCCGUCUCUACUAAAAAUACAAAAAUUAGGGGGUCAUGGUCGUGCAUGCCUGUAAUCCCAGCUACUCGGGAGGCUGAGACAGGAGAAUUGCUUGAACCCGGGAGGCGGAGGUUGCAGUGAGCCGAGAUCGUGACAUUGCAGUCCAGCCUGGGCAACAAAAGCGAAACUCCAUCUCAAAAAAUAAAUUAAAUAAAUAAAUAAAAUAAAAUAAAAUAAAAUAAAAAAGUUGGUUUCCCAAGCAGAACCCACCAUGCCAUUAGAUCCCCUGCCCCAACCCCCACCUAACCCCUCUGAGCAUUUAUCACCAUGACCCCUCAUCCUGUAUGCCAGCCUCUCACCUCCAGAAAACCUCAGGGCAGGACAGGCUGCUUACCCCAGUGCCACACACCCAAAAUAUAUUGAAAUCAUAAGCCUUCUGCCCUUCCCUGGAGGAGGGUUAGAUUUUAUAAAGCUUGGAAGAAACCACAAAGACUGUGGUGAAAAGAAACCAACAAAGGUCUAUUCCUUAGCUUCUCCCCAUUCUUCACCUAUUUGAUGGAAAGCUUAAAAGGUAUAAAUAACCACCACGCUAAUAAUGAUAGCUCCUACGUAUUGAGGGCUUACUAUGUAUAAAGCACCCUUCCAAGUUCUUUACAUACAUUAUCUCAUUGAAUCCUCACAAGAGUCCUGUGAUGUGUCACUAUUCUUCCCAUUUUAGAGAUGAGCAAAUGCAAGCACAGAAAGACUGAGAGAGACACUUAACUCAAGGUCACACCGCUGCUAUGUGAUUGAGCCAGAAUACACGCUCAGCAGUCCAACUACAGAGUCUGCACUUGCCCACUGCAUUUCACUAGUCCCAAAGAUUAUGACAACACUCCUCUUCCUAUUUUGUGACAGUGUGGUAUAACAAGAUGAACGUGAACCAGGAGUCAGGAGUGCUGGCUUCCAGCUCAGCAAAUAACCACGACAUAGAAAAUAUAUCAAUGGCAGGGUUGGAUGACAUGAGCUGAAGUUUCCUUUUCUCCCUUAACUUUGUUGUUUUUUUUGUUUGUUUGUUUUGAGACAGGGUCUCACUCUGUUGCCCACGCUGGAGUGCAGUGGCAGGAUCUUGGCUCACUGCAACCUCCACCUCCGGAGUUCAAGUGAUUCUCCCACCUCAACUUCCCGAGUAGCUGGGAUUACAGUCGUGUGCCACCACGCUCAGCUAAUCAUUUGUAUUUUUGGUAGAGAAAGGGUUUCACCAUGUUAGCCAGGCUGGUCUCAAACUCCUCACCUCAAGUGAUAUGCCCCCCUCAGCCUCCCAAGGGCCUCCCCAAAACGCCUGAGAUUACAGGCAUGAGCCACUGUGCCCAGCCCUUCCUCCCUUAACUUUGGUUGUCUCAUUCUGUCACUGCCACUCUGCUACCACCGAUUCCGUAUUCUGCCCCAGUGUUGGAAUCCCUUCUGCAUCAACCAACCACACAUUCCUAAAGGAGACCGUCAGCUAGGCACGGUGGCUCACGCCUGCAAUCCCAGGACUUUGGGAGGCCGAGACAGGCAGAUCACGAGGUCAGGAGUUCAAGACCAGCCUGGCCAACAUAGUGAAACCCCGUCUCUACUAAAAAUACAAAAAAAAAUCAAAUCAAAUAUUAGCCAGUCAUGGUGGCGGGCGCCUGUAAUCCCACCUACUCAGGAGGCUGAGGCAGGAGAAUUGCUUGAACCCAGCAGGCAGAGGUUGAAGUGAGCAGAGAUGGCGUCACUGCACUCCAGCCUGGGUCACAGUGCGAGACUCUGUCUCAAAAACAAAAAAAAAAAAAAAAAAAAAAGGAGAUCGUCAUUCUUCCUGCCUCCCUCCCAGCAGAAUGGCCAUGGCCCAGAGCUUCAACCAAGUUCCUUUCCUGGUCACGUACUGUUUUAUUUUUAUCAUUACCAUUAGCACUCUGAUUUAUAGGAUCCAAUUACUACUAAUUUGCAGACAAACAAAUUUUCCUGUUGAAUACAGAUUCCAUGGAAAUCUGACAGUGCAUUUAUUGAACUCUGCUGCCCAUCAGCUGAGGACUAAGGAUGUUUUUGCCAGUGGAACAUACCAGUUUUCAUGGUAUUUGUCCCAGUAGAAUUUGAUCCAUAUUAAACCAGCUUAAAUCAACUGUAUUUAGGGAAGAAAACUAUUUCUUUCAGUUUAUUUUUCUUUGGAAAUUCUUUGAAAAGAGGGUUAAAGACAGAAAACUAAUAAAUCGUUACAUAGCAAUGAGGAAUUGAGAAAUUAAGUAAAUAAACCUACUGUCAGGCCUCUGAGCCCAAGCUAAGCCAUCAUAUCCCCUGUGACCUGCACAUAUACAUCCAGAUGGCCUGAAGCAACUGAAGAUCCACAAAAGAAGUGAAAAUAGCCUUAACUGAUGACGUUCCACCAUUGUGAUUUGUUUCUGCCCCACCCUAACUGAUCAAUGUACUUUGUAAUCUCCCCCACCCUUAAGAAGUUUCUUUGUAAUUCUCCCCACCCUUGAGAAUGUACUUUGUGAGAUCCACCCACUGCCCCCCGCAAAACAUUGCUCCUAACUCCACCGCCUAUACCAAAACCUAUAAGAACUAAUGAAAAGCCCACCACCCUUUGCUGACUCUCUUUUCGGACUCAGCCCACCUGCACCCAGGUGAAAUAAACAGCCUUGUUGCUUGCACAAAGCCUGUCUGGUGGUCUCUUCACACGGACACACGUGACACCUACCUUACCAGGUGACUGAGAAAGUAUCUGAGUAUGCCUUUGGGGGUUAUUCCUUUGUCUGAAUUCUGAUGCAUCUUUAAAAACGAACUUGCACUUAACCAACCACUAAAAGAAAAAGAAGAAUUGUCG
RNAcentral lists this long non-coding RNA (10685 nucleotides) under Homo sapiens (human). RNAcentral describes it as "HSALNT0251955". The record is from RNAcentral. Lineage: Eukaryota; Metazoa; Chordata; Mammalia; Primates; Hominidae.